This 253-nucleotide ribosomal RNA is filed under the name uncultured bacterium. RNAcentral's name for it is "partial 16S ribosomal RNA". It matches the Rfam family "Bacterial small subunit ribosomal RNA", at positions 524 to 776 of the family's 1533-position model. The record is from RNAcentral.
UACGUAGGUGGCAAGCGUUGUCCGGAUUUACUGGGCGUAAAGGAUGCGUAGGCGGACAUUUAAGUCAGAUGUGAAAUACCCGAGCUUAACUUGGGUGCUUCAUUUGAAACUGGGUGUCUAGAGUGCAGGAGAGGUAAGUGGAAUUCCUAGUGUAGCGGUGAAAUGCGUAGAGAUUAGGAAGAACACCAGUGGCGAAGGCGACUUACUGGACUGUAACUGACGCUGAGGCAUGAAAGCGUGGGGAGCAAACAGG